CUUAGGUUAAUAGUACUCAGAUCAGAUAAAAGCAGUAGCUAUUUUUGUAUUCAAAUCUAUAAAAAUCUAAGCUUAGAUAAAGGGGUUCCAUUUUCUCUACAAACAUGCUUCCUUAUGAUAGAUCAGAUAUUUAUUUCCAAGAAAUAAUCUCUGGAAAUAGUAACCAUAAUUUAAGCAAACCAAUUUAAUUUAGAAGAGUGAUCACUCUAAUUAACUUUCUUAUACCCUUUAAUAUUGCACAGAAUUUUAGGCAACCAAUAGAGACACAGAACUAUUAAGUUCUAUGAACUU
This 291-nucleotide long non-coding RNA is filed under the name Bos taurus (domestic cattle). Its description in RNAcentral is "long non-coding RNA NONBTAT019205". The record is from RNAcentral. Lineage: Eukaryota; Metazoa; Chordata; Mammalia; Artiodactyla; Bovidae.